RNAcentral lists this ribosomal RNA (453 nucleotides) under uncultured bacterium. Its description in RNAcentral is "partial 16S ribosomal RNA". It matches the Rfam family "Bacterial small subunit ribosomal RNA", at positions 29 to 523 of the family's 1533-position model. The record is from RNAcentral.
AACGAACGCUGGCGGCAUGCCUAACACAUGCAAGUCGAACGGAUGCAGCAAUGCAUCAGUGGCAGACGGGUGAGUAACACGUGGGAAUCUACCCAGUAGCCUGGAAUAACCGCGGGAAACUGCGGCUAAUACCGGAUACGCCCCUCGGGGGAAAGGAGCAAUCCACUAUUGGAGGAGCCCGCGUCCGAUUUGCUAGUUGGUGAGGUAACGGCUCACCAAGGCGAUGAUCGGUAGGUUGUUUGAGAGAACGACCAGCCACACUGGGACUGAGACACGGCCCAGACUCCUACGAGAGGCAGCAGUGGGGAAUAUUGGACAAUGGGGGAAACCCUGAACCAGCAAGGCCGCGUGGGUGAUGAAGGCCUUCGGGUUGUAAAGCCCUGUUGGCGGGGACGAUGAUGACGGUACCCGCAGAAGAAGCCCCGGCUAACUUCGUGCCAGCCGCCGCCGUAA